CAAGUCGAACGGGAAAGUGGAGCAAUCCAUGAGUACAGUGGCGUACGGGUGAGUAACACGUGGGUGAUCUACCUUUUAGUGGGGAAUAACCCCUGGGAAACCGGGGCUAAUACCGCAUAAUCCCGAGAGGGGAAAGCAGCAAUGCGCUGAAAGAGGAGCCCGCGGCCGAUUAGCUAGUUGGUAGGGUAAGAGCCUACCAAGGCAGAGAUCGGUAGCCGGCCUGAGAGGGCACACGGCCACACUGGCACUGAAACACGGGCCAGACUCCUACGGGAGGCAGCAGUGGGGAAUCUUGCACAAUGGGGGCAACCCUGAUGCAGCGACGCCGCGUGAGCGAUGAAGCCCUUCGGGGUGUAAAGCUCUUUCGGCAGGGAAGAUAAUGACGGUACCUGCAGAAGCAGCUGCGGCUAACUACGUGCCAGCAGCCGCGGUAAUACGUAGGCAGCGAGCGUUGUUCGGAGUUACUGGGCGUAAAGGGUGUGUAGGCGGUUCUUUAAGUUUGGUGUGAAAUCUCCCGGCUCAACCGGGAGGGUGCGCCGAAUACUGAGGGACUAGAGUACGGGAGAGGAAAGUGGAAUUCCUGGUGUAGCGGUGAAAUGCGUAGAUAUCAGGAGGAACACCGGUGGUGUAGACGGCUUUCUGGACCGUAACUGACGCUGAGACACGAAAGCGUGGGUAGCAAACAGGAUUAGAUACCCUGGUAGUCCACGCCCUAAACGAUGCAUAUUUGGUGUGGGCAGUUCAUUCUGUCCGUGCCGGAGCUAACGCGUUAAAUAUGCCGCCUGGGGAGUACAGUCGCAAGGCUGAAACUCAAAGGAAUUGACGGGGGCCCGCACAAGCGGUGGAGCAUGUGGUUCAAUUCGACGCAACGCGAAGAACCUUACCUGGGCUCGAACGGCUUCUCACGCCGGUGGAA
RNAcentral lists this ribosomal RNA (916 nucleotides) under uncultured Bacillota bacterium. Its description in RNAcentral is "bacterial SSU rRNA". It matches the Rfam family "Bacterial small subunit ribosomal RNA", at positions 58 to 1006 of the family's 1533-position model. Lineage: Bacteria; Bacillati; Bacillota. The record is from RNAcentral.